UGGGGAAUAUUGCGCAAUGGGCGAAAGCCUGACGCAGCGACGCCGCGUGGAGGAUGAAGGUCUUCGGAUUGUAAACUCCUGUCAGAUGGGAAGAAAGGUUUAUGUUUAAUAAACGUGAAAUAUGACGGUACCAUCAGAGGAAGCACCGGCUAACUUCGUGCCAGCAGCCGCGGUAAUACGAAGGGUGCAAACGUUAUUCGGAAUCACUGGGCGUAAAGGGUGCGUAGAUGGCUUAUUAAGUUUGUUGUUAAAGGCUUCAGCCUAACUGAAGUAUUGCGAUGAAAACUGGUAUGCUAGAGGGUGAGAGAGAGAAGUGGAAUUCCUGGAGUAGCGGUAAAAUGCGUGGAUCUCAGGAGGAACACCAAUGGCGAAGGCAGCUUCUUGGCUCAUUCCUGACAUUGAGGCACGAAAGCGUGGGGAGCAAACAGG
This 429-nucleotide ribosomal RNA is filed under the name uncultured bacterium. RNAcentral describes it as "bacterial SSU rRNA". It matches the Rfam family "Bacterial small subunit ribosomal RNA", at positions 355 to 776 of the family's 1533-position model. The record is from RNAcentral.